UUUCAGAAGUAAACGCAGGAGGGAGGCUAGUAGAAACAGGGAAGAAUGUCGCAGAUAUGGAAGAAACUUUUGAUGAAUAAAUAUAUAUGACCCUGCAUUUCAAGGAAAUGAUCAAAAUCUAAACAAUGAAACAAGUUUAGUUUUGUAAGAAAUGAAAUAAAUAUUUCUGUGUGCA
Molecule: non-coding RNA, 175 nt
Organism: Parasteatoda tepidariorum (common house spider)
Lineage: Eukaryota; Metazoa; Arthropoda; Arachnida; Araneae; Theridiidae
Source: RefSeq, a predicted model, not a curated record